CCCUGUGGGAGCGGAGCGCAGAUCAGCACCGGGCGACUCGGCCCUCCUCCUCUCCUCCCUCCCCCUUAACCCCGGUCCUCCCCGCCUCCAACUGGGCAGAGCGCGCCUGCGGGUGGGCUCUGGAAGCCAAGUGCAAACCCUCCAACACAAAGUUCACGGCCACCGGGGCAGGGCCUGGCUGGGCAGGGCGCUCCGGGCAGCAGCUGCCCCCCGCAGGCCCGCGCCGGGACAGCGCGGUCCUCAGCCUGGAGGCCGCUCGGGGACCCCGCCGAGCCGCGGGCCCACCUGUGACGAGUUCACAGAGUGGUCACCUAGUGUGCACGAAGCCCCAGGACCCAUCCCCAACAUUGCAUUAACUAGGCAUACUGGCCAAGCCUGUAAUCCCAGCACUCUAGAGGUGGAGACCGAAGACUCAAAAGUUCAAGGAUUACAGAGACACAACACUGCUUCUCAUUUAACACUAUCUUCUUGCUGAAUGGUCUGGGACAUUUCCUGCUCUAAGCCACUCAGGUACCAGCACCUGAUCUGUGGGCUUGGUUACCCACUCAAGUGUCAGCACCGUGGACCACCUCGUCUGUGCACGGGGUACCCAGGUUGAAAUGAGACAGUCACCUGCUUUCGGAGCGGAUGUGGUCAGAUGCCUGCCUGCCUGCCUGCCUGCCUGCCGCCAUGCUUCUCACCGUGAUGCUCUGGGACGAGUCUCUGAAACCGUAGUCUCCCCAUAAACUCUGCUUCUACAAAUCACGUUAGUGCCUAAAUAUGUCGCCUUGGUCAGGUGUUCUACCUCAGCAACGGACAAGUAACGAAUGACGCUCAAAGGAGAGACUCGAGUGUCUUAGUAUUAAGUUGUCAUCAUUUUGGUUACUCUCAAGUUACAUCUCAAAGGCUCACUAAAGAUUCUCUCUCCCUCACCCCUCCUCCACCUCUCCCUUGUUCCUCUCUGAGAUGAGGUCCCAUGUAACCAAAGAUGACCUUGAACUUCUAAUCCUCCUGCCUUCACCUCCCAAGCGCUGGGCUCACAGCUCUGCACCACCACACAGUUGGUGGUGUUGAAGCCGGGACUCAGGGCUUCGUGAUGAUGGAGGCCAAACAUGCUACCAAUUGCGCCAUACCCCACCCGGCUAGUUUUUGAUAAACGAUUCCACAGGAUAGCUAUGGAGGUAACUUGCAUGGAGUCGAACUCUGAUAAGGUGAAACAGGGAAGCCCUGUGGCUGCACGGGGCUUUAGCACACACCUUUUACUGUAGUGGAGUUUCUGGGGAGAUUCCUACAAAAUGCAGGUUACAGCUGGGAAGGGAGAAAGGCCUUCAGGAGGUGCGGCUCCUUGUGCUGGAAUUUUUACUUCUUAGCUGGAGAGAGGCUGCAAGCAGGAGCCUGGAGGAGGGAUCGUUUCCGUUCACAGGUCCCCACAAUGUCCCUGGCUUUGUGUCCUUCUCAUUGCAGACAAGAAGUUAAAACUCUAGGUGUGGGGGUUGGGGAUUUAGCUCAGUGGUAGAGCGCUUGCCUAGCAAGCGCAAGGCCCUGGGUUCGGUCCCCAGCUCCGGAAAAACAAAACAAAACAAAACACUGCAUUAAAAAAACUCCAGGUGUGGAGGGCCUCAUUCCCUCCAAAGGUUCUUGGAAACCACCCUUCCCUGUCAUUCUAGAAUAUAGUGACUCCAGGUUCCUGGGCACACGUAACUGAAAUGUCCUUAGCUCUCUCCUCGUGACUCUCUAGGUCCCUUCCUCUUAUAAGGACACCAGGCAUUGUUUGCAUUUAGGGCUCAAGCUUGAUACAGAAUGACAUUGUCAUUUCCACGCACACAUUCCCUUCCCUUACCCCUCCCACAGUGCACCCUUGUAUAGCCAAGAUCCAGCUGCCCCACCGUGUUGCUGGCAUGGCUGGAGCCAAGGUAUUCUAGAGACACACUGUGUCCUCCCUUCAGCUGUUUGGUUAUAGAAACAAUGGUUUCCAGAGAAUUGGAAUCCUCCACAUCCUCACUUCCUAUCCCCACCCCUGCCCAGGAGGAUGGAAAAGUGCCAGCCAGAGGGGGACCAACGUCUGUCCAUCCUGCAGGAGAGAUUAGAAGCCAAGACAAUGUUGGGUCAGUGACUGGAAGGGCCAUACUUUAACCUGGACAGCUUAGCUAUGUGGAACUCUUGACGCCAAUUUAAGCAUAAACCUCAGAAACUGGAGAUGCCUCUCUCGUGAGGAUCUGGGUUCAAUUCCCACCUCCCACUUGGUAGUGGGAGUCACAACCAUUUCUAACUCUAGUCCCAAAGGACCUGAUGCCUUCUUCUGGCUGCUAAGAGAAUCGCAUGAAUGUGGUACACAUAUAUGCAGGCAAGACACCCAUUCACAGAACGUAAAAAUUAAACUAAGGGCUGGAGAGAUGGCUCAGCGGUUGAGAGCACCGACUCCUCUUCCAGAGGUCCUGAGUUCAAAUCCCAGCAACCACAUGGUGGCUCACAACCAUCUGUAAUGGGAUCAGAUGCCCUCUUCUGGUGUAUCUGAAGACAGUUACAGUGUACUUAUAUAUAAUAAAUAAAUACAUCUUGAAAAAAAAAAGUGUGAAGCAUUCACAUUAAAAAAAUAAAUAAAUAAAUAAAAAACUUUUUAAAAUUUUAAAUGAAAAUGAAAAAAAUUAAAACCAUGAUUAUGUCAGGACCAUGGAGGUGGACUUAGGGGCCACCGGACACCUCCAUUACUUCCUUUUCCCAGUGAGGCCACACUGAAUAAAUCCCUUGCCUGC
Molecule: non-coding RNA, 2732 nt
Organism: Rattus norvegicus (Norway rat)
Lineage: Eukaryota; Metazoa; Chordata; Mammalia; Rodentia; Muridae
Source: RefSeq, a predicted model, not a curated record